GUUUGAUCCUGGCUCAGAGCGAACGCUGGCGGCAGGCCUAACACAUGCAAGUCGAACGAACCCUUCGGGGUUAGUGGCGGACGGGUGAGUAACACGUGGGAACGUGCCUUUAGGUUCGGAAUAACUCAGGGAAACUUGUGCUAAUACCGAAUGUGCCCUUCGGGGGAAAGAUUUAUCGCCUUUAGAGCGGCCCGCGUCUGAUUAGCUAGUUGGUGAGGUAAAGGCUCACCAAGGCUACGAUCAGUAGCUGGUCUGAGAGGAUGACCAGCCACAUUGGGACUGAGACACGGCCCAAACUCCUACGGGAGGCAGCAGUGGGGAAUCUUGCGCAAUGGGCGAAAGCCUGACGCAGCCAUGCCGCGUGGAUGAUGAAGGUCUUAGGAUUGUAAAAUCCUUUCACCGGUGAAGAUAAUGACUGUAGCCGGAGAAGAAGCCCCGGCUAACUUCGUGCCAGCAGCCGCGGUAAUACGAAGGGGGCUAGCGUUGCUCGGAUUUACUGGGCGUAAAGGGCGCGUAGGCGGACAUUUAAGUCAGGGGUGAAAUCCCGGGGCUCAACCUCGGAACUGCCUUUGAUACUGGAUGUCUUGAGUGUGAGAGAGGUGUGUGGAACUCCGAGUGUAGAGGUGAAAUUCGUAGAUAUUCAGAAGAACACCAGUGGCGAAGGCGACACACUGGCUCAUUACUGACGCUGAGGCGCGAAAGCGUGGGGAGCAAACAGGAUUAGAUACCCUGGUAGUCCACGCCGUAAACGAUGAUUGCUAGUUGUCGGACUGCAUGCAGUUCGGUGACGCAGCUAACGC
RNAcentral lists this ribosomal RNA (800 nucleotides) under uncultured bacterium. RNAcentral describes it as "bacterial SSU rRNA". It matches the Rfam family "Bacterial small subunit ribosomal RNA", at positions 11 to 858 of the family's 1533-position model. The record is from RNAcentral.